Molecule: non-coding RNA, 102 nt
Organism: Lyophyllum atratum
Lineage: Eukaryota; Fungi; Basidiomycota; Agaricomycetes; Agaricales; Lyophyllaceae
Source: the annotation of a GenBank genome assembly
GGCGCUGUAGUGUAGUGGUUAUCACUCGAGAUUCUGAUUGCGUGUUCGCAAGCUUAACACUUCGCAAUUCUCGUAACCCAGGUUCGAGUCCUGGCAGUGCCU